RNAcentral lists this non-coding RNA (20 nucleotides) under Arabidopsis thaliana (thale cress). The record is from RNAcentral. Lineage: Eukaryota; Viridiplantae; Streptophyta; Magnoliopsida; Brassicales; Brassicaceae.
AUGAUUAUGGUGUAUCUUAC